CGUGUAGGCGGCUCUUUAAGUGAGAUGUGAAAUCCCGUGGCUCAACCACGGAACUGCAUUUCAAACUGGAGGGCUUGAGUUUGGGAGAGGAAAGUGGAAUUCCUGGUGUAGCGGUGAAAUGCGUAGAUAUCAGGAGGAACACCCGUGGCGAGGGCGGCUUUCUGGCCCAACGCUGACGCUGAGACGCGAAAGCUAGGGGAGCGAACGGGAUUAGAUACCCCGGUAGUCCUAGCCGUAAACGAUGGAUACUAGGUGUUAGAGGUAUCGACCCCUCUAGUGCCGUAGCUAACGCAUUAAGUAUCCCGCCUGGGGAGUACGGCCGCAAGGUUGAA
This 332-nucleotide ribosomal RNA is filed under the name uncultured bacterium. RNAcentral's name for it is "bacterial SSU rRNA". It matches the Rfam family "Bacterial small subunit ribosomal RNA", at positions 568 to 898 of the family's 1533-position model. The record is from RNAcentral.